CGGAUUGCAGUCUGCAACUCGACUGCAUGAAGCUGGAAUCGCUAGUAAUCGCGAAUCAGCAUGUCGCGGUGAAUACGUUCCCGGGUCUUGUACACACCGCCCGUCACACCAUGGGAGUCGGAAAUGCCCGAAGCCAGUGACCCAACCUUUAAGGAGGGAGCUGUCGAAGGCAGGUCUGGUAACUGGGGUGAAGUCGUAACAAGGUAAC
This 208-nucleotide ribosomal RNA is filed under the name uncultured bacterium. Its description in RNAcentral is "partial 16S ribosomal RNA". It matches the Rfam family "Bacterial small subunit ribosomal RNA", at positions 1294 to 1500 of the family's 1533-position model. The record is from RNAcentral.